Non-coding RNA from Gekko japonicus, 498 nucleotides. Lineage: Eukaryota; Metazoa; Chordata; Lepidosauria; Squamata; Gekkonidae. The record is from the annotation of a RefSeq genome assembly.
ACAGUUCUAGGCAGCAAUCUCUUUGUCCCAAGAAACUGGGAAUAUCUCACCAUGGCCAAGGCCUCGAUGCUCAUCCUGUUCCUCACUUCUUUUUGGGGUUGUGAUGCUGAGUUUACAAUGACUCAGCCGCCCUCUGUGUCGACUUCCAUUGGAGAGACUGUCAAAAUCUCCUGUACAUUAAGUGGAGAGCGCAUAAGCAGCACCUAUAUCUCCUGGUACCAACAGAAGCCCGGCAGUACUCCAAUGAUGCUCAUAUAUAGCAAUGACAACAGAGCCUCAGGCAUCUCCGACCGAUUCUCCGGUUCUGUCGACAGCUCUGCCAAUACCGCCACCUUAACCAUCUCCAGUGCCCAAGAAGGCGAUGAGGCCGAUUAUCACUGUUUCUCUUAUUACAGCAGCAACAAGCGCACAAUGAUACAAACACAUGGGGAAGUGAGACAAAAUCCUCCACUCAUGCGUGAGUCUUGUGUCAGGCUGAGUGGAAGGAAAACAGAGUGA